This 443-nucleotide ribosomal RNA is filed under the name uncultured bacterium. RNAcentral's name for it is "partial 16S ribosomal RNA". It matches the Rfam family "Bacterial small subunit ribosomal RNA", at positions 338 to 795 of the family's 1533-position model. The record is from RNAcentral.
CCUACGGGUGGCAGCAGUGGGGAAUAUUGGGCAAUGGGCGCAAGCCUGACCCAGCAACGCCGCGUGAAGGAAGAAGGCUUUCGGGUUGUAAACUUCUUUUCUUAGGGACGAAGCAAGUGACGGUACCUGAGGAAUAAGCCACGGCUAACGACGGGCCAGCAGCCGCGGUAAGACGUAGGGGGCAAGCGUUAUCCGGAUUUACUGGGUGUAAAGGGCGUGUAGGCGGGAUAGCAAGUCAGAUGUGAAAUCCUAGGGCUCAACCUGUGGCCUGCAUUUGAAACUGUUUUGCUUGAGUACUGGAGAGGCAGGCGGAAUUCCUGGGGUAGCGGUGAAAUGCGUAGAUAUUAAGAGGAACACCAAUGGCGAAGGCGGUCUGCUGGACAGCAACUGACGCUGAGGCGCGAAAGCGUGGGGAGCAAACAGGAUUAGAUACCCCUGUAGUC